AGAGUUUGAUCCUGGCUCAGAAUGAACGCUGGCGGCGUGCUUAACACAUGCAAGUCGAACGAGAAAGGGAUUGCUUGCAAUCCUGAGUAGAGUGGCGCACGGGUGAGUAACACGUAGAUAAUCUACCUUUGAACCUGGGAUAACUAAUCGAAAGGUUAGCUAAUACCGGAUGAAGUUAAUCGGCAUAAGUUGAUUGAUGAAAGACUGCCUAUCCUUGGAAGCAGUUGUUUGGAGAUGAGUUUGCGGACCAUUAGCUAGUUGGUGGGGUAAAGGCCUACCAAGGCGACGAUGGUUAGCUGGUCUGAGAGGAUGAUCAGCCACACUGGAACUGAAACACGGUCCAGACUCCUACGGGAGGCAGCAGUGAGGAAUUUUGCGCAAUGGGGGCAACCCUGACGCAGCAACGCCGCGUGAGUGAUGAAGGCCCUCGGGUCGUAAACUUCUUUUGUACGAGAAGAACAUGAGAUACGUGUAUUUCACUGACUGUAUCGUAUGAAUAAGGAUCGGCUAACUCCGUGCCAGCAGCCGCGGUAAUACGGAGGAUCCAAGCGUUAUCCGGAUUUAUUAGGUUUAAAGGGUGCGUAGGCGGAAGAAUAAGUCAGUGGUGAAAUCCUGCAGCUUAACUGCGGAACUGCCAUUGAUACUGUUUUUCUUGAGUACGGUUGAGGUAGGCGGAAUGUGUAGUGUAGCGGUGAAAUGCUUAGAUAUUACACAGAACACCGAUUGCGUAGGCAGCUUACUAAGCCGUAACUGACGCUGAGGCACGAAAGCGUGGGGAUCGAACAGGAUUAGAUACCCUGGUAGUCC
RNAcentral lists this ribosomal RNA (807 nucleotides) under uncultured bacterium. RNAcentral's name for it is "bacterial SSU rRNA". It matches the Rfam family "Bacterial small subunit ribosomal RNA", at positions 8 to 796 of the family's 1533-position model. The record is from RNAcentral.